Molecule: ribosomal RNA, 179 nt
Filed under: uncultured bacterium
Lineage: Bacteria
Description: partial 16S ribosomal RNA
Rfam family: Bacterial small subunit ribosomal RNA
Source: RNAcentral
GACUCCAUGAAGCUGGAUUCGCUAGUAAUCGCGCAUCAGCCACGGCGCGGUGAAUACGUUCCCGGGCCUUGUACACACCGCCCGUCAAGCCAUGGAAGCCGGGGGUGCCUGAAGUGCGCUGCCGCGAGGAGCGCCCUAGGGUAAAACCGGUGACUGGGGCUAAGUCGUAACAAGGUAUC